This 506-nucleotide ribosomal RNA is filed under the name uncultured bacterium. Its description in RNAcentral is "bacterial SSU rRNA". It matches the Rfam family "Bacterial small subunit ribosomal RNA", at positions 36 to 518 of the family's 1533-position model. The record is from RNAcentral.
CUGGCGGCGUGCCUAACACAUGCAAGUCGAACGGGGGAUUUUGUUUCGGCAGGAUCCUAGUGGCGAACGGGUGAGUAACGCGUAGGCAACCUGCCCUCCGGCCGGGGACAACACUCCGAAAGGGGUGCUAAUACCGGAUACGAAGUCUGUGCCGCAUGGUACGGAUUUGAAAGAUGGCCUCUAUUUAUAAGCUAUCGCCGGGGGAUGGGCCUGCGUCCGAUUAGCUGGUUGGUGGGGUAACGGCCUACCAAGGCGACGAUCGGUAGCCGGUCUGAGAGGAUGAACGGCCACAUUGGGACUGAGACACGGCCCAGACUCCUACGGGAGGCAGCAGUGGGGAAUCUUCCGCAAUGGGCGCAAGCCUGACGGAGCAACGCCGCGUGAGUGAGGAAGUUCUUCGGAACGUAAAGCUCUGUUGUUCCUGACGAACCUCCCUUCUAUCAACAACGGAGGGGACUGACGGUAGGGAACGAGGAAGCCACGGCUAACUACGUGCCAGCCGCCGC